ACCUGCCACCCAUUACUUUUUUUUUUUCCUCUGAUUUCCGAAGUUAAGUAGGGUUGGGCCUGGUUGGUACUUGGAUGGGAGACCAUCUGGGAAUACUAGGUGCUGUAGGUU
Ribosomal RNA from Nomascus leucogenys (northern white-cheeked gibbon), 111 nucleotides. Lineage: Eukaryota; Metazoa; Chordata; Mammalia; Primates; Hylobatidae. The record is from Ensembl.